Molecule: long non-coding RNA, 1484 nt
Filed under: Triticum aestivum (bread wheat)
Lineage: Eukaryota; Viridiplantae; Streptophyta; Magnoliopsida; Poales; Poaceae
Description: long non-coding RNA (TAES_LNC016572)
Source: RNAcentral
GCAAGGUUGCUCCUUCGUGCAGAAGCUGAGCUUCUCUGGUCGCUGACCCAACUCCUCUUUGCAACCCGGGUGCUCCGCCACUGCCCCAACAUGUGCUCCUGCGCCACCUAUUCUAUCUCAAUGGAUCUACUGCUCCUGGUCAUCAGCCUGGGCAGGUCGCUUACUCUCUCACGGACGCAGCGCUGCGGCCGCGGAUGCAUGCUGAUUAAUUGCGUUUUUCCUGUCGAGUUGUUGCCACUUCCACCCAAUGUUUAGAGCUGCAAAAUUAUUCUGUUUAGGCAUCGCUUCAGUCUUUGCUCGCCGUGGACUGUCAUUGUCUUGUGUUUAGGCGUAAAGUUCAGUCGAAUCUUAUGGCUGAUGUAUGUAGUUGUGGUAGCGUAGUUUCUUGGAUGGAUGGCAGCCUCGCGUUAUGCCAGAUUCGACCAAUGUCAGGAUCCAGGAGGCCAUGGACCAGGACCGUGUCCUCACACUCCAAUUCGAUGAAGCUGUGGAGCGCAUGCGGUGGUGGUCGCGCAGUCGGCUUACGUCAUGUGCAUCUGAAGAGAACACCGGGGGUGCAUACUGCGCCUACAUGGAUCCAUCACUUCUGAGUCGAGGUUCUCUGUUCCCGUCCUUGUUGCUCCAGAAUUCAGUAGCCUGCUGUUCAGUCUGUGUGUUCUAGAUGUUUUUCCAACAUCGAUCGAGACAUUACAUGUUGUGCUGACACCACAAGCACCUAAGUUGGGCAUUGCUAAUGCUUCCAUCUGGAGCCGAACUGUGUACUUUUUCUUUGAGAUGACCUGAAGUUCUUACUGAUUUAACCAAUAUGUAGUCAAAGGGACUUAUGAGCACACUUGAAAUCUCAACAUGUUCUGGCAUGAGGACAGUUCCAUUGAUGUGUGCAGUUACACAUUAACCUGAUGAUCUUCUAUGGCUUUCGAGGGAUGUCCAAAAAUUCUUCCUGAAGAGUGUGCAAGAAUUCUGACAAAGCUGGUGACUGUAUUUAGCAUGGGAAGUACCACUUCAGUCACCGAGUUGAACUCCAAGUUAAAACCGUGGCUGGUGAUAGCUACCAUUUGUAAUUUAAUGUUUUGCUGUUGGCUCUAAUACAAAAGCGGGCGUGGAUUGCAAGAAUGGUUCCCCUUGUGUGUAUUAGACUAUUAUUUAGUGAUUCUGAUUUAGUAUAAAUAAACAUAUAAUUUAAUUGGUCACUUUUCAAUUCUUUUGUGCUAGAUUAAACAAAAAGUUGAAGCUCGACAGGUUUGUGUCACUUUUUAGGAUGACGUCUGGUACGCAGCAAGCCGAGCCAACUAUGGACCGUGGACGUGAAGGAAGAAGUCACCGCCGGUCGGUAGUAGCCACGUUGGCUACCCACACCGAUUGUAGCCAUGUAGGAGGUGCCGGUCGGUAGUUGCCACGGGACUUAAGGGCAUCAAGUGUGACCAUGAAGGCACUGGCCGUCCUAGAAGAUACAUGCGGCACCAGAGUCAAAUAACAAAGUUCAA